UUUUUAGUAAGAGAGGUCCAUUCUUGAUCUUUUGGCCCAAUUUCAAGACCAACAAGACUUAACCCAAUACCCCAUCAACACCCCAAUCUUCUUCAUCAUCUACUACAACAUAAACCCUAGAUAUAAGGGAGGAGGGAUCCAUGGCAGCUUUCUUAAGACACCACCCAAAAACCUAGCUGAACCCUAGCACCCUUAGAGACCCCAGCCGCCCUCAACUUGCCAUAACUACCCCAAACCGACGAACCAGCCCCGCCAGCCAUGCCGCCAGUCCACCAGAAAACACAGUUCCCAUCCAUCGAGCAGCCCAUCUUCUUCCUCAGCUGAACGACCAAACGACCCCUGACCUCUCCAACACCACCAAUAUCUCCGCCGCCAGACCACCCUAGCUACUGGACCUCCAUCUUCAGCAACCUAAUCUCUAUGCUAGCCACACCCUCACCAACAAAACUUCAUCGUCGGACCUCCCUUCACCACGCAACAGCCAUAAACGAAGCUUCACCCUCACAAAACCACCGAAGCUUCCUCUUCCUCCAAAGAACCUAGAAAAAGCUAGGCUGCUUCUUCUUCUACCGGGAACCAUCGCCGCUGUCAACUUUUCGACGAUCAAUGAAGCUUCGUGGCUUUAGUCCUCUCCUCUCCUCCAUGUGCGACGAGUUUCAGAUCUGGUCGAGUGUUUGGUUAAAUCCGGUGACCCUCCAUUGAAUUCGGCGAAUUGCUAUCACGCCAUUCUCGUUUCUCGUCUUUUCUCUCUCUCUUUUCACUGUUAAAUUGUCGGAAAUGACGAGAUCCAGUAGCUUUGACUGCCUCUAAUGUUUUCCUGCUCGUACAUUCAUUUGGUUGACUCUACUGGAUUUCGUCAUCGACAAGUUUUCAAUUUGCAACCGGUGGAGUUUCAUUUGAGUCGAGUUCGCCGGUUCGAGGUUCCGUCGAUAACUUGUUAUGCUUCUUCAUCAGGUGAAAAAACUUAAUUCCUUUGAUCUUCAAUUAAAAUUCUUCAAGUUUGUUGAAUCUUCAAGUUCACUUUUGUGUGUUGAUCUAUUUUCGUUCUGUCCGUAGACCUCUAAUUCGAUUGUUAUCAUAUUGAAAUAGCAAUAAAAAGGGCGUGUAUAUUUGUUAUAAACUGGAUCUGCGUUUCUGCAUUGAAUGAAACUUUUGUUGUCAUUGUUUGUUCUGAUUCGUGAAGUGAAGUAUCGAUUCUCUGUCAAUACUUUGCACUAAAGUACUAAUUUAGUUCUCUAGUGGAUUGUUGUGCUCUAUUCUGGAGACUAGGAUUUGAAUUAGCAACAUCUAAUUGAUAUGUGCGUUGUUGUAUAUAAAGGAACAAAGCUGUACAAGUGACCAUUUUUGGGUAUAACUUGGCAAAUUGCAAUUGACGUGGGCAUAAAGACGAUAACAAAGUAAAAUUUCUUUUACAUUGUCACUUUCUAUAAGCACAAUAUAGGUUAAAUAAUCUCUUAAACAUAGUUGUGAGGUCUUCUACAUAUUAAAUGUUGUUAUAAUGCCAAAACAUUCAUAUUUUUCAAGUGGCUUGCACAGUCUGGUCUAAGCUAGUUCACACUCCAUGGAGUUUGCAAAGUGGUGGCCAGUUGUUGCUAUUAAUGCAAGUUCAUCCCAGAUUAGUACCAUGUAGCAAAUAUGCUUAUUUAUGAGUUCAUGUCACUUAUUACUUAUAAACAUAUGUGGUUUGCUUUAGUUGAAUACAUUCUUUUGAAAUAAAUUAAUGUGUGCCAUGCCAAAUAAAAUUCCAGAACCUA
RNAcentral lists this long non-coding RNA (1754 nucleotides) under Nicotiana tabacum (common tobacco). RNAcentral's name for it is "long non-coding RNA (NTAB_LNC016185)". Lineage: Eukaryota; Viridiplantae; Streptophyta; Magnoliopsida; Solanales; Solanaceae. The record is from RNAcentral.